RNAcentral lists this long non-coding RNA (212 nucleotides) under Capsicum annuum. Its description in RNAcentral is "long non-coding RNA (CANN_LNC013970)". Lineage: Eukaryota; Viridiplantae; Streptophyta; Magnoliopsida; Solanales; Solanaceae. The record is from RNAcentral.
GUGGUGGUCCUAACAAUGGUAGAGUUAAGGGCUUGGAGUUAUACGUUCUUCAUGUAGUCCAUUACCAUUAUUGUCUAGUGCUUCUACUUCACAAAAUACAAAAGAAAUUGAAGAGAUACAAAAGGAAAUUGCAGAGCAAAAGAUAAGGUGUAAAACUUCUGAUGAUAGGGUUGCUAAAUUUGAGAAGCUUAUAAUGAAGUACAUGCCUCAAA